AGAGCUUUCAAUUCCAAUACUUUUAUACAAACAGUCCCAUUUCUCUUGAGAAAUUAAUCAUUCAGUUUUCACCUCUAUCGAGGAAUUAUACCAUUAUCAUUACAGAAAAGCUGUGGAUCCAGAAAAACAGUUCAGGAAAUUUACCCAGAAUGACAGUGGAUUGUGUAGAUUCAAUAUUGUAUAAUGCGAUCCAGCUUUGAAAUGUGUCUCAACCAUUGCAUGCUCUUUCUGGUUAUUGUUCCUAACAUUAUUCAAUAGAUAUAUAUCACUCGUUAAAGAGUAAAUCUAAGUGCACAGAUGAUUUUCACAGAAUAGGACCCAGAUGUGAAACGAAGGACAGGUCCCAUUAUGUAAAAAUCUUCUGUGUUCAUAGCGCUGCUGCUCACUAAAAAUUGUUCGUUUUUUUGUUUUGUUUUGUUUUUUUUUCACAUGUAACAGAAGAUGUGUUCUUUCUCAAUUCAAACUGCAACUCCUAAUUUUGUCCUCCUUUUAUUUCCUUCUAUAGCUUACUCAUCCAGGGCAGAGGGCCUUUGAACGCAGCUUCUCAAGGUUCAAGAUAAUGUUGCUAUUUGCACUUUGAUGAUUUCACAACACAUGGCUCUCAAUUGCUUAGAAGCAGGACGUGAAUGGGUCAGAAGUCAAGUCAAAAGCCUUGCCAGAAACAAAGAACUCCUUGGUGAGGCCCUUUCACCUCUUUGAAGUUGUUUGCUGGUUUGCACGGAGACAUGGUGUGCUGCUGCUUCCAGGAUUUGCGUGCGGCACAAGUGGGUGUAUCCGGAUCACCUAUGGAAUGUUGACAGAAUCAGAAUGCAAUGUUGCUGCAAAGAGACACGAGAGGGGUGGAAGAGCUCAUCAGAGAGGGCAUGGUGGAGAAUGAGUGUUUCUCGGAUUCUGGACAGCCAAACAUUCUCUUAACAUACCAGGAUUCUUGUUAGGUGAUGUUCAGUUGGCUUUUGAAGUACUUCCGCAACAUAACUAAUAUAACUAAUGUUGUCAAAUUCAGGGAAAUGAUUACUGAUUUAAGUAUGUACACUUGGAUGGAUACAACUAGGGCAGUGAGUGACCCAGAAUGUUUCAACAGUCAUCUUUGUAUCUAUUUUACCAGAUAUUAUAACAGAAAUUUGUGUUUCUUGUCUUUGUUGAAGUGCUUGAUGGCCUUGUAUGAAACCGUUCGCUGAUAAAGUUUGAUCUUUCAGUUUUCUUACAA
This is a non-coding RNA of Camellia sinensis, 1207 nucleotides long. The record is from RefSeq and is a predicted model, not a curated record. NCBI's taxonomy places the organism in Eukaryota, Viridiplantae, Streptophyta, Magnoliopsida, Ericales, Theaceae.